Molecule: long non-coding RNA, 737 nt
Filed under: Gossypium raimondii (Peruvian cotton)
Lineage: Eukaryota; Viridiplantae; Streptophyta; Magnoliopsida; Malvales; Malvaceae
Description: long non-coding RNA (GRAI_LNC007825)
Source: RNAcentral
UUUAUUUUAUUAUUUUGGAAUUGCAAAUCUCUUUAUGGGUUUGAGAUUCAAAUACUUCCUUGAACGGAAUUAUUUUGUUGUAAUUUAUAACUUGACAACAAUCUCAUACACUUGCAAGUAGUAGUAGAAAAGGUGACAAUGUCUUUUGAGCUUAAAAUUAUUUAUUUUGUUAUUAUUUAUAUAUACACUUUUCUUGCAUUAGAAACACCUGUUGAAGGAUGGAUUAAAUUUAACCCAGAAGAGCAAUUAUAUCUGAAAGUUUCAGUGCAUUUUUAGGACUCUUCCGACAUCCACAAGUAUCUGGUUACAAGGCUAUUGUCGCAAGAAUGGAGUAUGCUUAGUUACUCAAGCUAAGUUAUGGGGGAUUUUUUUAUGGACUUAAAAUUGAAAGGAGUUGCGGUUUCAGAAGACUACUGGUGGAAUCUAAUAACCCGUCCAUAGUAAAAUUGCUCAAAGGAGUGAUAGAUGAUGGAGCAGGCUUAGAGUCAGUGAGGAGUAUCCUGGAGCUUAAAAGCAGACCAUGGGAUCUACUAGCUAAGAACACAUAGAAAGGCAAAUGAAGUUGCAAAUUUCAUGACUAUUUACCUAAUAAAUAAUUCCUUAGGCUUGGUUCAUCUUAAUGUAUCACCACAAGGCAUCAAUAGGAUCCUUAAUGCUAACAUUCAUGGAGAAUUUAGAGAAAAAAUUGUUAAUCAAAAUAAUUGAGGACUAGCUAUUAACAUUCUUUCUUGUAAACA